Molecule: non-coding RNA, 25 nt
Filed under: Cricetulus griseus (Chinese hamster)
Lineage: Eukaryota; Metazoa; Chordata; Mammalia; Rodentia; Cricetidae
Source: RNAcentral
UCUGCACAAUAAAAAUGUUUAACAG